RNAcentral lists this ribosomal RNA (774 nucleotides) under uncultured bacterium. RNAcentral's name for it is "partial 16S ribosomal RNA". The record is from RNAcentral.
AGCAUCCAUCGUUUAGGGCUAGGACUACCAGGGUAUCUAAUCCUGUUUGCUCCCCUAGCUUUCGCGCCUCAGCGUCAGUUGUGGUCCAGUAUGCCGCUUUCGCCACAGGUGUUCCUCCCGAUAUCUACGCAUUUCACCGCUACACCGGGAAUUCCACAUACCUCUCCCACACUCAAGCACGGCAGUUUCGCCUGCAGACUCUGAGUUGAGCCCAGAGAUUUCACAGGUGACUUACCGCACCGCCUACGCGCCCUUUACGCCCAAUAAUUCCGAACAACGCUUGCCCCCUCUGUAUUACCGCGGCUGCUGGCACAGAGUUAGCCGGGGCUUCUUCUUCCGGUACCGUCAUUAUCUUCCCGAUCGAAAGGAGUUUACAUCCCAAAGGACUUCAUCCUCCACGCGGCAUUGCUGCGUCAGGGUUUCCCCCAUUGCGCAAAAUUCCCCACUGCUGCCUCCCGUAGGAGUCUGGACCGUGUUUCAGUUCCAGUGUGGCCGUGCGCCCUCUCAGGCCGGCUAUUGAUCAUUGCCUUGGUAGGCCAUUACCCUACCAACUAGCUAAUCAACCGCGACCCCCUCUCCAAGCUGCUUACGCAUUUGACUUUGCAGUGUUAUGCGGUGUUAGCCCCGGUUUCCCGGGGUUAUUCCCCACUAAGAGGUAGAUUACCCACGUGUUACUCACCCGUACGCCACUGUACUCAUGGUUGCCCACUUUCCCGUUCGACUUGCAUGUGUUAGGCGCGCCGCCAGCGUUGAUUCUGAGCCAGGAUCAAACUC